UACGUAGGGUGCGAGCGUUAAUCGGAAUUACUGGGCGUAAAGCGUGCGCAGGCGGUUCGUCAAGUCUGAUGUGAAAGCCCCGGGCUCAACCUGGGAAUGGCAUGGGAAACUGGCGAGCUGGAGUGCGGCAGAGGGGGGUGGAAUUCCGCGUGUAGCAGUGAAAUGCGUAGAGAUGCGGAGGAGCACCGAUGGCGAAGGCGGUCCCCUGGGCCGACACUGACGCUCAGGCACGAAAGCGUGGGGAGCAAACAGG
This 253-nucleotide ribosomal RNA is filed under the name uncultured bacterium. RNAcentral's name for it is "partial 16S ribosomal RNA". It matches the Rfam family "Bacterial small subunit ribosomal RNA", at positions 524 to 776 of the family's 1533-position model. The record is from RNAcentral.